Molecule: unclassified non-coding RNA, 474 nt
Filed under: uncultured Glomus
Lineage: Eukaryota; Fungi; Glomeromycota; Glomeromycetes; Glomerales; Glomeraceae
Description: SSU rRNA
Rfam family: Eukaryotic small subunit ribosomal RNA
Source: RNAcentral
AGCAGCCGCGGUAAUUCCAGCUCCAAUAGCGUAUAUUAAAGUUGCUGCAGUUAAAAAGCUCGUAGUUGAAUUUCGGGACCAUCAUGUUGGUCGUGCCUCGGUACGUACUGGCAUUGUUGGUUUCUCCCUUCUGACGAACCAUGAUGUCAUUUAUUUGGUGUCGUGGGAAAUCAGGACUGUUACUUUGAAAAAAUUAGAGUGUUUAAAGCAGGCUCACGCUUGAAUACAUUAGCAUGGAAUAAUGAAAUAGGACGUUUGAUUCUAUUUUGUUGGUUUCUAGGAUCGACGUAAUGAUUAAUAGGGAUAGUUGGGGGCAUUAGUAUUCAAUUGUCAGAGGUGAAAUUCUUGGAUUUAUUGAAGACUAACUACUGCGAAAGCAUUUGCCAAGGAUGUUUUCAUUAAUCAAGAACGAAAGUUAGGGGAUCGAAGACGAUCAGAUACCGUCGUAGUCUUAACCAUAAACUAUGCCGACUA